AAGUCGAACGGAAACGAAGGAAGCUUGCUUCCAGGCGUCGAGUGGCGGACGGGUGAGUAAUGCAUAGGAAUCUACCCUGUAGUGGGGGACAACCUGGGGAAACUCAGGCUAAUACCGCAUAAUCCCUAAGGGGGAAAGUGGGGGACCUUCGGGCCUCACGCUAUUGGAUGAGCCUAUGUCGGAUUAGCUAGUUGGUGGGGUAAAGGCCUACCAAGGCGACGAUCCGUAGCUGGUUUGAGAGGAUGAUCAGCCACACUGGGACUGAGACACAGCCCAGACUCC
RNAcentral lists this ribosomal RNA (282 nucleotides) under uncultured bacterium. Its description in RNAcentral is "partial 16S ribosomal RNA". It matches the Rfam family "Bacterial small subunit ribosomal RNA", at positions 59 to 339 of the family's 1533-position model. The record is from RNAcentral.